CAGGUACCUGGUUCUUCCCGCCCUCCUAACUGCCUCCCCUCCUGGCUGGGAACCUGCUGCACUCCAACCUUGGGGUAGGGGACUUCCCAGUGCUGUGGCUGGCCAGCUUCUUCCCUGCUUCCUCCUGCUUCUCUGUGUCCUUGCAUUCUCUCACCGGGUGACCUUUGAAGGCAGAACUGGCUCUCUUUUCUCUGUGUCUGCAUCUAUAUCGGGCCCUACACCUGGCAAUACUACAAGGCUACAGAGUGAAUGGUGGAAGCCUAGGGCUGUCAGUGCACUCCUCCAGGUGGAGAAAAUGCAGAAGGCCCUGGCUGCAGGUGUGAAGGUGGUUGGUGGCUUGUGUCUAUCGUAC
RNAcentral lists this long non-coding RNA (352 nucleotides) under Rattus norvegicus (Norway rat). RNAcentral's name for it is "long non-coding RNA NONRATT004521". The record is from RNAcentral. Lineage: Eukaryota; Metazoa; Chordata; Mammalia; Rodentia; Muridae.